This 2006-nucleotide long non-coding RNA is filed under the name Rattus norvegicus (Norway rat). RNAcentral's name for it is "long non-coding RNA NONRATT021436". The record is from RNAcentral. Lineage: Eukaryota; Metazoa; Chordata; Mammalia; Rodentia; Muridae.
GGGACAAAUCUUGCUUCUCUUCCAACCCUUGUUUGAGAGGGGUUGGGGAGGUGUGCUGUGAGCCCUUCUCUGAACCAUUUUGUGGGUUCCACACAUAAGCAAAUGGCAAAGCAUGAGAGGUGGGACAAAUUCACGUUAACGUGGCAUCUCUUGCUGAUGACUAGAGGGUCUCAGGCAGAGCAGCUAAGCUGAAAGUGCCCUGUAGGUGCAAAGGGGAAGAGGGUGAGGUUUGAGGAGGAAGCGGUUGCCUGUCCAACCUCACCUGCUGAGCUAUUUAAGGAAGGUGAUGCAGAAGGCCGUCCUGUGGUUUCCCUGUGUGGUCUCCCCCCUGCCUCUGAGGCCAGCUCAGCAGAUCUGACCUGCCUGGGGCAAGCCAGGUGAUUCAGGGUUUGAUCAGAAGUCUAGUGAUAGCAAACGCCACAGACACCUUCUCUCAUUACUUUGGCCAAGGUCACAGAUGGCUGUGACAACUUGAUGUCAUUACUCAGGUGAGCACUGAAAACACAGGGGCUGUCUUUAUAAUUGACUUUAGUCCAGCAUCAGACAAAGACCAGUUCUAUGGAGCAUUGUACAGCUCAACCUAUGCUGUCAUUGUACCACCAGAGGGCGCAGUAGCCCUCUGUGGGCCACCUGGCACAUUAAAAGGUUUUCUCCUCAGGCAAUGGAUAAGAGAUGAGAUAUGAAAGCUUUGCUUUCUGGGAAUGGAUGGGAACAGACAAGAGAAGAGAAUCUGGCGAGGUGCCUGCACGUACUUUAGUGAGUUUAUCAAAAUUAACAACAGAAAUGAUACUGGAUUUUGAACAAGCAGACAUAGGAGAAUAUUUGUUUUAAAACGCAGCUAACAGAUUUCUUGUUGAAGAAACAUUCUUACAGGGGUAAUGUCUCAAUCAGGGGUCAAUUUUAUGAACAACAUGUAGAAAAUGGGUAUUCAAGAAUGUCGAAGAUUGCUCUGUAAAUAACUUCCCAGAAGACCACCCUAUAUCUAUUAAGCCUGAGGGCGGGGGAUCCCGAGCACACUUUGGGCAGAAAUAAGUCAUGAUCAUUGAGGACAGGCUGCCUGCCCACCUGCCCACCUGCCCACCUGCCCACCUGCCCACCUGCCCACCUGCCCACCUGCCCCCCCUACCCCAUAGACUCUAACAUAAGCUAGCUAGUGUUGUGUAGAUGGGAUUUACAUAAGUGAAAGUGGCAGCGUAGCUGGGGGCAGACACUUGAGUUGCAUAAGAUAGUAAAGCGGAAGUAGUAUGUUAUCAUUCUUGGGAGUGUCUGGAAGCUGUGGUAGGAUAAACGCAUCUGAUAAACGCUGUGGAGACUUAGCCCAACACAAGAUUCAGUGUUUGUAAGAGUCCGCCUCACAAGCUAAUGAAGCAGGUGUAUGCCUACUAGAGCUCUGUGGCAAAGUUCCCUUACUCUCCGGUGAGUCAGUAGCUAUAAAAAUAAUAGUCACCACAAAGCACUGUCACCUCACAUUGAUACAGGUGAUGCCACUCUGGAAGGUCCUCAGGGCAGCCAGGCCUGCAUGCCUUCAAAUUAUUGGCUGCAUUCUUGUAUUGCAACCAUCUUCAAUUGAGAGCUCAGCUUUGGGAGAAAACACACCAUGGAGGGAGAGGUGUGGCAGGUGUGGGUCGAGCAUCCCAGCUCUCCUGUGCCUCCUGCAGCCGUAGUGUUUCAUUCCACACGGCACCGAGCCCCAACUCCUGUCCUGUGGUAUGUGUCAAAUGUGUUUUAUUGGGCUGCUGCCAACCAUCUUGAACUGUCAUGCAGAGAAUUCUUGCAGGAAUCAAUAAGUUCUGUCUCUAACCAUGUUGUGAGAACCGAAUCGCCAUAGCUGGAGCAGUGUAACAGAAAGCCUUUGUUCCUGGGGGUGGGGGAGACUGACUAUGUGGUCUUAACAGCCUUUUGUACAAAUACCUUCAAAUCAAACGAUGUCUCUAUCCAGUGCUUGCCCUCAGAGUGUCUUUAAAUGCACCAAGUGUACAAUAAAAGCAUUGAAGUCAAUACCCAGG